This 244-nucleotide unclassified non-coding RNA is filed under the name Hevea brasiliensis (rubber tree). Lineage: Eukaryota; Viridiplantae; Streptophyta; Magnoliopsida; Malpighiales; Euphorbiaceae. The record is from RNAcentral.
GUUUGAUGCUUUCUGGAAGACUUGUCAAAUUUGAGCAUUCAUCGAGACAAAGUUCUUUAAGACAUUUCAACUCACCUAUGCUGCUAGGAAGACUCACGAGGCUUGAACAUUCAUAGAGAGAGAGUUCUUCAAGAUGUUUCAAUUUGCAAAUGCUGCUUGGAAGACUCACUACUUCUAUACACUCAUUCAAGGACAAUUUGACAAGCUGAGAUAGAUGCUCAAUUGAUGAGGGCAGUUGUUCUAU